RNAcentral lists this ribosomal RNA (218 nucleotides) under uncultured bacterium. RNAcentral's name for it is "partial 16S ribosomal RNA". It matches the Rfam family "Bacterial small subunit ribosomal RNA", at positions 99 to 334 of the family's 1533-position model. The record is from RNAcentral.
CGCACGGGUGCGUAACGCGUGGGAAUCUGCCCUCUGGUACGGAAUAACUCAGGGAAACUUGAGCUAAUACCGUAUAAUGACUUCGGUCCAAAGAUUUAUCGCCUGAGGAUGAGCCCGCGUAGGAUUAGCUUGCUGGUGAGGUAAAGGCUCACCAAGGCGACGAUCCUUAGCUGGUCUGAGAGGAUGAUCAGCCACACUGGGACUGAGACACGGCCCAG